RNAcentral lists this ribosomal RNA (1496 nucleotides) under Lactiplantibacillus plantarum. Its description in RNAcentral is "bacterial SSU rRNA". It matches the Rfam family "Bacterial small subunit ribosomal RNA". The record is from RNAcentral. Lineage: Bacteria; Bacillati; Bacillota; Bacilli; Lactobacillales; Lactobacillaceae.
GCUGGCGGCGUGCCUAAUACAUGCAAGUCGAACGAACUCUGGUAUUGAUUGGUGCUUGCAUCAUGAUUUACAUUUGAGUGAGUGGCGAACUGGUGAGUAACACGUGGGAAACCUGCCCAGAAGCGGGGGAUAACACCUGGAAACAGAUGCUAAUACCGCAUAACAACUUGGACCGCAUGGUCCGAGUUUGAAAGAUGGCUUCGGCUAUCACUUUUGGAUGGUCCCGCGGCGUAUUAGCUAGAUGGUGGGGUAACGGCUCACCAUGGCAAUGAUACGUAGCCGACCUGAGAGGGUAAUCGGCCACAUUGGGACUGAGACACGGCCCAAACUCCUACGGGAGGCAGCAGUAGGGAAUCUUCCACAAUGGACGAAAGUCUGAUGGAGCAACGCCGCGUGAGUGAAGAAGGGUUUCGGCUCGUAAAACUCUGUUGUUAAAGAAGAACAUAUCUGAGAGUAACUGUUCAGGUAUUGACGGUAUUUAACCAGAAAGCCACGGCUAACUACGUGCCAGCAGCCGCGGUAAUACGUAGGUGGCAAGCGUUGUCCGGAUUUAUUGGGCGUAAAGCGAGCGCAGGCGGUUUUUUAAGUCUGAUGUGAAAGCCUUCGGCUCAACCGAAGAAGUGCAUCGGAAACUGGGAAACUUGAGUGCAGAAGAGGACAGUGGAACUCCAUGUGUAGCGGUGAAAUGCGUAGAUAUAUGGAAGAACACCAGUGGCGAAGGCGGCUGUCUGGUCUGUAACUGACGCUGAGGCUCGAAAGUAUGGGUAGCAAACAGGAUUAGAUACCCUGGUAGUCCAUACCGUAAACGAUGAAUGCUAAGUGUUGGAGGGUUUCCGCCCUUCAGUGCUGCAGCUAACGCAUUAAGCAUUCCGCCUGGGGAGUACGGCCGCAAGGCUGAAACUCAAAGGAAUUGACGGGGGCCCGCACAAGCGGUGGAGCAUGUGGUUUAAUUCGAAGCUACGCGAAGAACCUUACCAGGUCUUGACAUACUAUGCAAAUCUAAGAGAUUAGACGUUCCCUUCGGGGACAUGGAUACAGGUGGUGCAUGGUUGUCGUCAGCUCGUGUCGUGAGAUGUUGGGUUAAGUCCCGCAACGAGCGCAACCCUUAUUAUCAGUUGCCAGCAUUAAGUUGGGCACUCUGGUGAGACUGCCGGUGACAAACCGGAGGAAGGUGGGGAUGACGUCAAAUCAUCAUGCCCCUUAUGACCUGGGCUACACACGUGCUACAAUGGAUGGUACAACGAGUUGCGAACUCGCGAGAGUAAGCUAAUCUCUUAAAGCCAUUCUCAGUUCGGAUUGUAGGCUGCAACUCGCCUACAUGAAGUCGGAAUCGCUAGUAAUCGCGGAUCAGCAUGCCGCGGUGAAUACGUUCCCGGGCCUUGUACACACCGCCCGUCACACCAUGAGAGUUUGUAACACCCAAAGUCGGUGGGGUAACCUUUUAGGAACCAGCCGCCUAAGGUGGGACAGAUGAUUAGGGUGAAGUCGUAACAAGG